CAGUAGCCACGGGAACACGUAGGGUGCGAGCGUUAAUCGGAAUUACUGGGCGUAAAGCGUGCGCAGGCGGUUUUGUAAGACAGGCGUGAAAUCCCCGGGCUCAACCUGGGAAUGGCGCUUGUGACUGCAAAGCUAGAGUGCGGCAGGGGCAGAGGGAAUUUCCGGUGGAGCAGUGAAAUGCGUUGAGAUCGGAAAGAACACCAACGGCGAAAGCACUCUGCUGGGCCGACACUGACACUGAGAGAGGAAAGCUAGGGGAGCAAAUGGGAUUAGAUACCCCUGUAGUCCCUGUCUCUUAUAC
This 301-nucleotide ribosomal RNA is filed under the name uncultured bacterium. RNAcentral describes it as "partial 16S ribosomal RNA". It matches the Rfam family "Bacterial small subunit ribosomal RNA", at positions 509 to 807 of the family's 1533-position model. The record is from RNAcentral.